RNAcentral lists this ribosomal RNA (468 nucleotides) under uncultured bacterium. RNAcentral's name for it is "partial 16S ribosomal RNA". It matches the Rfam family "Bacterial small subunit ribosomal RNA", at positions 28 to 507 of the family's 1533-position model. The record is from RNAcentral.
GACGAACGCUGGCGGCGUGCUUAACACAUGCAAGUCGAACGGAAAGGCCCUGCUUUUGUGGGGUGCUCGAGUGGCGAACGGGUGAGUAACACGUGAGUAGCCUGCCCUUGACUUUGGGAUAACUUCAGGAAACUGGGGCUAAUACCGGAUAGGAGCUCCUGCUGCAUGGUGGGGGUUGGAAAGUUUCGGCGGUUGGGGAUGGACUCGCGGCUUAUCAGCUUGUUGGUGGGGUAGUGGCUUACCAAGGCUUUGACGGGUAGCCGGCCUGAGAGGGUGACCGGCGACAUUGGGACUGAGAUACGGCCCAGACUCCUACGGGAGGCAGCAGUGGGGAAUAUUGCACAAUGGGCGGAAGCCUGAUGCAGCAACGCCGCGUGCGGGAUGACGGCCUUCGGGUUGUAAACCGCUUUCGCCUGUGACGAAGCGUGAGUGACGGUAAUGGGUAAAGAAGCACCGGCUAACUACGUG